RNAcentral lists this unclassified non-coding RNA (2217 nucleotides) under Patiria miniata (bat star). Its description in RNAcentral is "dNA nucleotidylexotransferase-like, transcript variant X2". Lineage: Eukaryota; Metazoa; Echinodermata; Asteroidea; Valvatida; Asterinidae. The record is from RNAcentral.
UUAAUUUCUGUGAAACGAGAUUUGGAACAUUCAAGAUGGCUGCGCCCGUGAAGAAACGAAAAACGUCCUUGCCCAAAAAGACAGUUGGCCUAGCUUUUCCUGUGAAGUUCCCCGAUAUUUCCAUGUUUAUUGUAGAGCGGAAAAUACAAAGAGCUCGACUUGACCAUGUAAAGAAUCUAGCACGAAGGAAGGGGUUUCAAGUUAGCGAUUCUUUGAAUGAAUCAGUCACUCACAUAAUUUCUGAACUGGAGACGAGAGACCAAGUUCUAGAGGUCUUGAGAGGCAGACUAUCAAAUGAUGUUGAAGCUAGUCUCUUUCUCAAGGAUGCAGAGAUUGUCUGCAUGGGAUGGUUCACUUCCUGUAUGGAGGAGGGAGCUCCGGUGCAAGUAACACAUGGACACAGAUUGAAGCCAGAAGUAAAGGCUGUACCCACAGUGUCGUCGUCAUCAGCUUCCAAGACGUGUUACCAGGAUGCCAAGUACUGCUGUCAGCGAAUCACUCCAUUGAAUCACCACAAUAAGAAGCUCACUGAUGCAUUGGAAGUUUUGGAGAAGCAAGCCGACUUUCUUGGUGGAGACAACAAUUCAUCGCGAGCUCUGGCUUUCCGCAAGGCGUCUACUGCCCUCAAGGCCCUGCCAAAGACAGUCAGGAAUAUGCGUGAAGUUGAGAACCUAUGUGAUCUGAAAGGAGGGAAGCAUUGCAAGCGUGUAGUCCAGGAGAUUUUGGAGGAAGGAUUUUCCUCAGAAGUUGAAGAUAUCAUGAAUGAUGAGUGGUUCCAGACAGUGAAGAUAUUUACUGGCGUUUUUGGUUGUGGUGCAGCUACUGGUCGGAAGUGGUUCGACAUGAAACUCAGAAGUUUAGAAGACGUCAGACGUUGCCAAGAUAUUAAUUUGACAACUGAACAAAAACAUGGACUGAAGUUCUAUGAUGAUAUCAACACACCAGUCACUAGACAUGAAGCAGACGUCAUACAGCAGAUAGUUGCAGCGGAGGCCCAACAGAUCCUACCUGGUACCACCGUCACAGUCACUGGAGGGUUUAGUAGAGGAAAGACCACGGGUCAUGAUGUGGAUCUUCUUAUUUCUCAUCCUGAGGAAGGCAAGGAGGAGGGACUCUUAGCUCAGAUCCUCUACGCUCUACACAAGAAAGACUUCUUAGAAUACACCGACGUUCAGAACAGUUCUUAUAAUGAGGCUGCUAUCAGGCAGGUCAAACGAAAUCAAGUCAUGGAUCACUUCGAGCGUUGCUUCAGUAUAUUCCGCCUCCCCAAACGCCUCAUUCAAGAUAGGAGUGAGCUUAAUACUGACCAAUCCACAGUCAAACUGGGAGAAAAUACGCUCAAAAUGAGCCCAAAGGACCAGGCCAACACACAGAGACCCACAUUGGCAGAGGAAGGUUCAGGAGAUGUCGAAGAUACUACAAAUAAGACACAGAACCAAGACAACAGUGACGAGACUGGGAAUGCUGAUGAUCGGAACGUGAGAACUCAGUCACAGGAUGCGGGAUUAUUAGAUAGCAAGCUGACACCUUGUGUAGAUUCAGAAGCAACAAGUCUCAAUGAUGGGGUUCGGGACUGGGUUGCUCGUCGAGUCGACCUGAUCAUCACCCCACACAGCCAGUAUGCCUACGCCCUCAUGGGGUGGAUCGGAUCACGCAUGUUCAACAGAUCCAUCAGGGAUUACGCUAACCGGGAAAUGAACAUGACGCUGACAAGCCAUGGACUGUUUGAUAAAACUAAGAAUGCACUCAUUCCUGCUAAGACGCAGAGAGAAAUCUUUGAACAUCUCAAGUUGCAGUACAGAGAACCCAAAGAGCGCAACUGCUGAGCACAAUAUUCGUGACUUGGUGUCCAUGGCAAACAAUCAUCCAAACACCAAUGGUUCACAGUUUUUCAUCACCUAUGCCAAACAGCCCCAGCUUGAUAUGAAAUACACCCUCAUUGGAAACUACAAGACACAUCAUGGCGGCUGACGGGCAACGUGCAGAAUUUGUAUUCGGUGAAAUAAUAGACAAAAGGCUAUUUGAAAAAGAUUUGGUUCAGAUAGCUAGUCAACUGCGUGCACAGAACAAGAGUGUCUACGAUCUGAAUGCUGCUAAAAGAGAAAUGUCACUGGAAAUGGAUAAGUAUGUCUUCAUCAGCAUUUAUCAAAUGCAUGCCUCCAUUGUUGUGGUGGAUAAAGAGUUGUUCAACACUCUGCUGUUUGAACCAGUCUGGGG